RNAcentral lists this small RNA (735 nucleotides) under Pongo abelii (Sumatran orangutan). RNAcentral describes it as "processed transcript". The record is from RNAcentral. Lineage: Eukaryota; Metazoa; Chordata; Mammalia; Primates; Hominidae.
CACAAAGGACCCGGCUGGCUGCUUUUCUCAGCGCCGAAGCCGCGCCAUGUUCGUUCUCAGAAGCGGCCUGACCAGGGCGCUUGCCUCACGGACGCUCGCGCCUCAGAUAAUUUUGCUCAUCGAGCUGAAGUUCGGAAAGCCUUAGCCAACUGUAAGGAAUGGCAAGAACAAUCUAUCAUUCCAAAUUUGGCUCGCAUUGAUAAACAAGAGACGGAGAUUACUUACCUGAUACCAUGGUCCAAAUUAGAAAAGCCUCCAAAAGAAGGAGUCUAUGAACUAGCUGUUUUUCAGAUGAAACCUGGUGGGCCAGCUCUGUGGGGUGAUGCAUUUGAAAGAGCAAUUAAUGCCCAUGUCAAUUUAGGCUACACAAAAGUAGUUGGUGUUUUCCACACAGAAUAUGGAGAACUCAACAGAGGUUCACGGGGUACAUGUGAAGUUUUGUUACCUAGGUAAACCCAUGUCAUGGGGGUUUGUUGUACAGAUUAUUUAAUCACUCAGUUCAUGUUCUUUGGUGGAAUGAGAGUGCAGAUAGUCGUGCAGCUGGGAGACAUAAGUCCCAUGAGGAUCCCAGAGUUGUGGCGGCUGUUCGGGAAAGUGUCAACUACCUAGUGUCUCAGCAGAAUAUGCUUCUGAUUCCUGCAUCAUUUUCACCAUUGAAAUAGUUUUCUACUGAAAUACAAAACAUUUCAUUAACUGCUCUAAGAUAUGUCUGCUAAUGGUGCUUAAAUUCUCCCA